GCUUAACACAUGCAAGUCGAGGGGCAUCAGGAAGAAAGCUUGCUUUCUUUGCUGGCGACCGGCGCACGGGUGAGUAACACGUAUCCAACCUGCCCUUUACUCGGGGAUAGCCUUUCGAAAGAAAGAUUAAUACCCGAUAGCAUAAUGAUUCCGCAUGGUUUCAUUAUUAAAGGAUUCCGGUAAAGGAUGGGGAUGCGUUCCAUUAGGUUGUUGGUGGGGUAACGGCCCACCAAGCCUUCGAUGGAUAGGGGUUCUGAGAGGAAGGUCCCCCACAUUGGAACUGAGACACGGUCCAAACUCCUACGGGAGGCAGCAGUGAGGAAUAUUGGUCAAUGGGCGCUAGCCUGAACCAGCCAAGUAGCGUGAAGGAUGAAGGCUCUAUGGGUCGUAAACUUCUUUUAUAUAAGAAUAAAGUGCAGUAUGUAUACUGUUUUGUAUGUAUUAUAUGAAUAAGGAUCGGCUAACUCCGUGCCAGCAGCCGCGGUAAUACGGAGGAUCCGAGCGUUAUCCGGAUUUAUUGGGUUUAAAGGGAGCGUAGGUGGACUGGUAAGUCAGUUGUGAAAGUUUGCGGCUCAACCGUAAAAUUGCAGUUGAUACUGUCAGUCUUGAGUACAGUAGAGGUGGGCGGAAUUCGUGGUGUAGCGGUGAAAUGCUUAGAUAUCACGAAGAACUCCGAUUGCGAAGGCAGCUCACUGGACUGCAACUGACACUGAUGCUCGAAAGUGUGGGUAUCAAACAGGAUUAGAUACCCUGGUAGUCCACACAGUAAACGAUGAAUACUCGCUGUUUGCGAUAUACAGUAAGCGGCCAAGCGAAAGCAUUAAGUAUUCCACCUGGGGAGUACGCCGGCAACGGUGAAACUCAAAGGAAUUGACGGGGGCCCGCACAAGCGGAGGAACAUGUGGUUUAAUUCGAUGAUACGCGAGGAACCUUACCCGGGCUUAAAUUGCAGUGGAAUGAUGUGGAAACAUGUCAGUGAGCAAUCACCGCUGUGAAGGUGCUGCAUGGUUGUCGUCAGCUCGUGCCGUGAGGUGUCGGCUUAAGUGCCAUAACGAGCGCAACCCUUAUCUUUAGUUACUAACAGGUCAUGCUGAGGACUCUAGAGAGACUGCCGUCGUAAGAUGUGAGGAAGGUGGGGAUGACGUCAAAUCAGCACGGCCCUUACGUCCGGGGCUACACACGUGUUACAAUGGGGGGUACAGAAGGCAGCUAGCGGGUGACCGUAUGCUAAUCCCAAAAGCCUCUCUCAGUUCGGAUCGAAGUCUGCAACCCGACUUCGUGAAGCUGGAUUCGCUAGUAAUCGCGCAUCAGCCACGGCGCGGUGAAUACGUUCCCGGGCCUUGUACACACCGCCCGUCAAGCCAUGGGAGCCGGGGGUACCUGAAGUACGUAACCGCAAGGAUCGUCCUAGGGUAAAACUGGUGACUGGGGCUAA
Molecule: ribosomal RNA, 1435 nt
Filed under: uncultured organism
Description: 16S ribosomal RNA
Rfam family: Bacterial small subunit ribosomal RNA
Source: RNAcentral